Wasmannia auropunctata (little fire ant) is the source of this 275-nucleotide long non-coding RNA. RefSeq lists it as uncharacterized. The record is from RefSeq and is a predicted model, not a curated record. Lineage: Eukaryota; Metazoa; Arthropoda; Insecta; Hymenoptera; Formicidae. The transcript has 4 exons.
CAGUCUUUUUCGUGGAGCCGCGGCUGAACUUGUAUUUUCCUUUCCGUGGCCGGAGAUUUCUAACAGCUGCAGUAACAUUUACGUUACGUAUGCUCCAAUUUGAUACUAGUCAUCUUUAUCGAAAUUUGAUAUCGUCUCGAGUUUUCACAUAAAAUGUAUUGUCAGGCGGUCUCUUCUGCAUUGAAAAACUGCUUAGCAUGGAAAUGAUACUCAGGCAAAUGCUCUGUACACUGAGAGCGGGAGACCAAUCCUCUGUUAAUAUGGAUAAACAAAUA